GGCGUAGGACUACAUGCACUAUGCGAUGUGUAUGUAAUGUAUUUGAAUUCAGAGUAAAAAAGCCGUUGCAUCAAUUAUCAUCCUCCUGAAUACUCUCCUUUUCUCCUGCAAAUUUACAGUAUGGGCAUCCUUUUUUAACAUCUUUCGUCAAAGAAGUGGAUUCAAAGCACAUUGUGGCCUCAGUAUAUUGAUGUGAAACCAUGCAGAAAAUGCUACUCUCUCUCAACCUUGUGGAUGUUCCCUACUUCCCUAAGGAUCAGCAGCCUCUUGAAACAGUUGAAGCCAUUAUCGAAUUCCUUGCGUCUA
Molecule: long non-coding RNA, 306 nt
Filed under: Strongylocentrotus purpuratus (purple sea urchin)
Lineage: Eukaryota; Metazoa; Echinodermata; Echinoidea; Camarodonta; Strongylocentrotidae
Description: uncharacterized LOC115920979
Source: RNAcentral